This 511-nucleotide ribosomal RNA is filed under the name uncultured Actinomycetes bacterium. RNAcentral describes it as "bacterial SSU rRNA". It matches the Rfam family "Bacterial small subunit ribosomal RNA", at positions 355 to 857 of the family's 1533-position model. Lineage: Bacteria; Bacillati; Actinomycetota; Actinomycetes. The record is from RNAcentral.
UGGGGAAUCUUGCGCAAAUGCGGGAAACCGUGACGCAGCGACGCCGCGUGGGGGAAGAAGGCCUUCGGGUUGUAAACCUCUUUCAGGAGGGACGAAGCUACUCGGGUUAAUAGCCCAGAGGGUGACGGUACCUUCAGAAGAAGCCCCGGCUAACUACGUGCCAGCAGCCGCGGUAAUACGUAGGGGGCUAGCGUUGUCCGGAUUUAUUGGGCGUAAAGAGCGUGUAGGCGGCCAGACAAGUCUGCUGUGAAAACUCGAGGCUCAACCUCGAGCUGUCGGCGGAAACUGUUUGGCUAGAGUCCGGAAGAGGAGAGUGGAAUUCCUGGUGUAGCGGUGAAAUGCGCAGAUAUCAGGAAGAACACCUAUGGCGAAGGCAGCUCUCUGGGACGGUACUGACGCUGAGACGCGAAAGCGUGGGGAGCGAACAGGAUUAGAUACCCUGGUAGUCCACGCCGUAAACGAUGGGUGCUAGGUGUGGGCGGUGUCGACUCCGUCCGUGCCGAAGCUAACG